CGAUGGACAUUGCAAAGAGUGGCGAACGGGUGAGUAACACGUGGGAAACCUACCUCUUAGCAGGGGAUAACAUUUGGAAACAGAUGCUAAUACCGUAUAACAAUAGCAACCGCAUGGUUGCUACUUAAAAGAUGGUUCUGCUAUCACUAAGAGAUGGUCCCGCGGUGCAUUAGUUAGUUGGUGAGGUAAUGGCUCACCAAGACGAUGAUGCAUAGCCGAGUUGAGAGACUGAUCGGCCACAAUGGGACUGAGACACGGCCCAUACUCCUACGGGAGGCAGCAGUAGGGAAUCUUCCACAAUGGGCGAAAGCCUGAUGGAGCAACGCCGCGUGUGUGAUGAAGGGUUUCGGCUCGUAAAACACUGUUGUAAGAGAAGAAUGACAUUGAGAGUAACUGUUCAAUGUGUGACGGUAUCUUACCAGAAAGGAACGGCUAAAUACGUGCCAGCAGCCGCGGUAAUACGUAUGUUCCAAGCGUUAUCCGGAUUUAUUGGGCGUAAAGCGAGCGCAGACGGUUAUUUAAGUCUGAAGUGAAAGCCCUCAGCUCAACUGAGGAAUUGCUUUGGAAACUGGAUGACUUGAGUGCAGUAGAGGAAAGUGGAACUCCAUGUGUAGCGGUGAAAUGCGUAGAUAUAUGGAAGAACACCAGUGGCGAAGGCGGCUUUCUGGACUGUAACUGACGUUGAGGCUCGAAAGUGUGGGUAGCAAACAGGAUUAGAUACCCUGGUAGUCCACACCGUAA
RNAcentral lists this ribosomal RNA (741 nucleotides) under Weissella sp. RNAcentral describes it as "bacterial SSU rRNA". It matches the Rfam family "Bacterial small subunit ribosomal RNA", at positions 75 to 805 of the family's 1533-position model. Lineage: Bacteria; Bacillati; Bacillota; Bacilli; Lactobacillales; Lactobacillaceae. The record is from RNAcentral.